RNAcentral lists this long non-coding RNA (224 nucleotides) under Elaeis guineensis (African oil palm). Its description in RNAcentral is "long non-coding RNA (EGUI_LNC054456)". The record is from RNAcentral. Lineage: Eukaryota; Viridiplantae; Streptophyta; Magnoliopsida; Arecales; Arecaceae.
GCUGAUCGGUUAGGAUCAUUAUAGGGUGUGCUUGAAAGUAGAAUUGAAGUCUUCAGGCCGAAUGAUGAGGGCAAAGAUGAGCUUCUCCAACCUAGUGUAUCUACUUUCGACAUCAUGGAGAGUCCUGCUUGUUGGGAAUAGUGUCCCAAAGUCAAUCAUCAGCCUGUUGACGGUUGUACUCAUUCUUGUAUUAGUAUAUAAAUUAUAAAUAAAUAAAAGUUAUU